AAUCAACGCUGGCGGCGUGCCUCAGACAUGCAAGUCGAACGCGAAAGUCCCCUUCGGGGGACAAGUAGAGUGGCGCACGGGUGAGUAACACGUAGGUAAUCUACCUUCGGAUGGGGAAUAACAACCGGAAACGGUUGCUAAUACCGCAUAAUGCAGCGGCACCUAAUGGUGACAGUUGUUAAAGCGGGGGAUCGAAAGACCUCGCGUCUGAAGAGGAGCCUGCGGCGGAUUAGCUAGNGGUAAGGUAAUGGCUUACCAAGGCGACGAUCCGUAGCCGGCCUGAGAGGGCGGUCGGCCACACUGACACUGACAUACGGGUCAGACUCCUACGGGAGGCAGCAGUCGGGAAUUUUGGGCAAUGGGCGAAAGCCUGACCCAGCAACGCCG
RNAcentral lists this ribosomal RNA (387 nucleotides) under uncultured bacterium. RNAcentral describes it as "bacterial SSU rRNA". It matches the Rfam family "Bacterial small subunit ribosomal RNA", at positions 32 to 399 of the family's 1533-position model. The record is from RNAcentral.